This 253-nucleotide ribosomal RNA is filed under the name uncultured bacterium. RNAcentral describes it as "partial 16S ribosomal RNA". It matches the Rfam family "Bacterial small subunit ribosomal RNA", at positions 524 to 776 of the family's 1533-position model. The record is from RNAcentral.
UACGGAGGGUGCAAGCGUUAUCCGGAUUCACUGGGUUUAAAGGGUGCGUAGGUGGGCAGGUAAGUCAGUGGUGAAAUCUCCGGGCUUAACUCGGAAACUGCCAUUGAUACUAUCUUUCUUGUAUACCGUGGAGGUCAGCGGAAUAUGUCAUGUAGCGGUGAAAUGCUUAGAUAUGACAUAGAACACCAAUUGCGAAGGCAGCUGGCUACACGAAUAUUGACACUGAUGCACGAAAGCGUGGGGAUCAAACAGG